AAAAAACAUAAGCACUUAUCAUAACCAGAAAUAUAACAAACUAUAUUUGCUAACUAGUGCUGAAAAUGAUAUAUUUUAAGUCUACAAUUAUCUUUUUAGAUUUAAAACUUUUAAAACAAAAGAAUUAACUGCUCUUUUUUUAUUGUAGUAAUCGUUGUUUAAAGGUCUCCGUGACACCAUAACAAUAUGUUUAGGGUCUCGUGCACCAA
This 209-nucleotide long non-coding RNA is filed under the name Mytilus galloprovincialis (Mediterranean mussel). The record is from RNAcentral. Lineage: Eukaryota; Metazoa; Mollusca; Bivalvia; Mytilida; Mytilidae.